RNAcentral lists this ribosomal RNA (405 nucleotides) under uncultured bacterium. Its description in RNAcentral is "bacterial SSU rRNA". It matches the Rfam family "Bacterial small subunit ribosomal RNA", at positions 30 to 452 of the family's 1533-position model. The record is from RNAcentral.
AUUGAACGCUGGCGGCAGGCCUAACACAUGCAAGUCGAGCGGGGUUUUCGGACCUAGCGGCGGACGGGUGAGUAAUGCGUAGGAAGCUACCCGAUAGAGGGGGAUACCAGUUGGAAACGACUGUUAAUACCGCAUAAUGUCUACGGACCAAAGUGUGGGACCUUCGGGCCACAUGCUAUCGGAUGCGCCUACGUGGGAUUAGCUAGUUGGUGGGGUAAUGGCUCACCAAGGCGACGAUCCCUAGCUGGUUUGAGAGGAUGAUCAGCCACACUGGAACUGAGACACGGUCCAGACUCCUACGGGAGGCAGCAGUGGGGAAUAUUGGACAAUGGGCGCAAGCCUGAUCCAGCCAUGCCGCGUGUGUGAAGAAGGCCUGGUGUAAGCACUUCUAGCGAGGAGGAAGGG